Molecule: ribosomal RNA, 497 nt
Filed under: uncultured bacterium
Lineage: Bacteria
Description: partial 16S ribosomal RNA
Rfam family: Bacterial small subunit ribosomal RNA
Source: RNAcentral
GAUGAACGCUGGCGGCGUGCCUAAUACAUGCAAGUCGAGCGAACAGACGAGGAGCUUGCUCCUCUGACGUUAGCGGCGGACGGGUGAGUAACACGUGGAUAACCUACCUAUAAGACUGGGAUAACUUCGGGAAACCGGAGCUAAUACCGGAUAAUAUAUUGAACCGCAUGGUUCAAUAGUGAAAGACGGUUUUGCUGUCACUUAUAGAUGGAUCCGCGCCGCAUUAGCUAGUUGGUAAGGUAACGGCUUACCAAGGCAACGAUGCGUAGCCGACCUGAGAGGGUGAUCGGCCACCCUGGAACUGAGACACGGUCCAGAAUCCUACGGGAGGCAGCAGUAGGGAAUCUUCCGCAAUGGGCGAAAGCCUGACGGAGCAACGCCGCGUGAGUGAUGAAGGUCUUCGGAUCGUAAAACUCUGUUAUUAGGGAAGAACAAAUGUGUAAGUAACUAUGCACGUCUUGACGGUACCUAAUCAGAAAGCCACGGCUAACUACGUG